This is a long non-coding RNA of Tripterygium wilfordii, 313 nucleotides long. RefSeq lists it as uncharacterized. NCBI's taxonomy places the organism in Eukaryota, Viridiplantae, Streptophyta, Magnoliopsida, Celastrales, Celastraceae. The record is from RefSeq and is a predicted model, not a curated record. The transcript is spliced from 3 exons.
CCUCUUCUUGUUACAGUUGCUUGUGUUUUUUUUCUUCUUCUUCGAAUUCCUAUUUAUUUAUGGAAUUCUUCCGGUCUUCUUUACUGUUCAAAUUUGUGCUUAUACUGCCAGAACUGCUUCCCAAAGAGAGUUCACUCCAGUCAUAGAUGUGGCAGGGUUCCUCUGAUGACCAGGUAAGGAUUAUGUAUCAAGUACUCUUAAAGCUUGUGCUGGAAUGGGUCUCAAGAAAUUGGGUAGACACUUGCAGGCUAUCAGUGUUUGUCUGCAAGUUCAUGCACUUGCUCAGAAAUCAGGUUUUGAAUUUGACAGCUAU